This is a non-coding RNA of Misgurnus anguillicaudatus (oriental weatherfish), 488 nucleotides long. The record is from RefSeq and is a predicted model, not a curated record. NCBI's taxonomy places the organism in Eukaryota, Metazoa, Chordata, Actinopteri, Cypriniformes, Cobitidae.
ACAGCAGUGCAAGUCACAGUUCUCACAAAUGUAUCAGCCUCUACUGUUAGUGUUGCUGGCCAGAGUGAAGGCAAAGGGAGCUCGACUGCAGCAGUCUCUGUAGUAUCUCUGUGCGUCAUCAUAACCUUGAUCGUGUUUGGGAUUCUGUAUCUGAGAAAACGAAAACUGAGCAAAACCACUAGCCAAAUUGAAUUAAACCGGAAUUCCUUAUAUUUUCUUCAGGAUUCUGUAUAUUACUCUCAGAUUUCAGAUGGGCCCCAAUUCCCACUAUAUUAUUUGUUGGACAAUAAUACAGAUGCAACGACUACCUUUGUUGCUGAACAAACAGAAGCUACUGCAUGUGGAAAUGUUGACCAACCUGUAACAAAAUGUAGUUGUUAAUGUUUUCACUUGUUUUAUUUUGACAUUCAAAUCUCGUUGUGUACUUUAACUUCUGACUUACUAAUGCUGUGCAAUCUUUCAAAAGCUGUAAUAAAGAAUAAAAAGUC